RNAcentral lists this ribosomal RNA (460 nucleotides) under uncultured bacterium. RNAcentral describes it as "partial 16S ribosomal RNA". It matches the Rfam family "Bacterial small subunit ribosomal RNA", at positions 338 to 795 of the family's 1533-position model. The record is from RNAcentral.
CCUACGGGUGGCAGCAGUGAGGAAUAUUGGUCAAUGGGCGCGAGCCUGAACCAGCCAAGUCGCGUGAAGGAUGAAGGCUCUAUGGUUUGUAAACUUCUUUUAUAUGGGAAUAAAGUGAGGAACGUGUUCCUUUUUGUAUGUACCUUAUGAAUAAGCAUCGGCUAACUCCGUGCCAGCAGCCGCGGUAAUACGGAGGAUGCGAGCGUUAUCCGGAUUUAUUGGGUUUAAAGGGUGCGUAGGUGGGUAAUUAAGUCAGUGGUGAAAGUUUGUGGCUCAACCGUAAAAUUGCAGUUGAGACUGGUAGACGUGAGUACAUUUGAGGUAGGCGGAAUGCGUGGUGUAGCGGUGAAAUGCAUAGAUAUCACGCAGAACUCCGAUUGCGAAGGCAGCUUACUAAACUAUAACUGACAGUGAAGCACGAAAGCGUGGGGAUCAAACAGGAUUAGAUACCCCGGUAGUC